AAUUCUCAACUGCCCCAGGCUUUGUGGCCUGCAGGUGAAGUUGGACUUGGAGGUAUGCUGGCGCAUGAAUGGGCUUUGUGCCCUGCCUUGCUUGUUGGCUCCUCUCGAAUGCAUGAGCUUUCCAAUCCUUGGCAAAGUAUCGUCGAUGUGAUAAUUGUCUACGUCGCCCGAGAAAGCCGAAAAGGGGAAAUCUUUGAUCACGCUGGGGUGACCCGUGUCUGACAAAUUCGACCUCAAAUCAGGUAGGACUACCCGCUGAACUUAAGCAUAUCAAUAAGCGGAGGAAAAGAAACUAACAAGGAUUCCCCUAGUAACUGCGAGUGAAGCGGGAAAAGCUCAAAUUUAAAAUCUGGCGGCCUCCGGUCGUCCGAG
Molecule: ribosomal RNA, 372 nt
Filed under: Tomentellopsis submollis
Lineage: Eukaryota; Fungi; Basidiomycota; Agaricomycetes; Thelephorales; Thelephoraceae
Description: eukaryotic LSU rRNA
Rfam family: Eukaryotic large subunit ribosomal RNA (bases 229-372)
Source: RNAcentral